This 23-nucleotide non-coding RNA is filed under the name Arabidopsis thaliana (thale cress). Lineage: Eukaryota; Viridiplantae; Streptophyta; Magnoliopsida; Brassicales; Brassicaceae. The record is from RNAcentral.
GUUCAUGGGUUGAGUUGAGUUGA